CUAUGCGCCUUGCCAGCCCGCUCAGGUGUGCCAGCAGCCGCGGUAAUACGUAGGGUGCAAGCGUUAUCCGGAUUUAUUGGGCGUAAAGGGCUCGUAGGCGGUUCGUCGCGUCCGGUGUGAAAGUCCAUCGCUUAACGGUGGAUCCGCGCCGGGUACGGCGGGCUUGAGUGCGGUAGGGGAGACUGGAAUUCCCGGUGUAACGGUGGAAUGUGUAGAUAUCGGGAAGAACACCAAUGGCGAAGGCAGGUCUCUGGGCCGUUACUGACGCUGAGGAGCGAAAGCGUGGGGAGCGAACAGG
RNAcentral lists this ribosomal RNA (298 nucleotides) under uncultured bacterium. Its description in RNAcentral is "partial 16S ribosomal RNA". It matches the Rfam family "Bacterial small subunit ribosomal RNA", at positions 475 to 776 of the family's 1533-position model. The record is from RNAcentral.